CCUCGGCCGAGAGCGCGCCCGGCGGAGCGGCUUCCGCCCGCCCCCGGCCGCUGCCCGCCUCGCCUGCGCCCCCUGUCCCCGGCCCUCCUGGACGUCUGGUCCGGAGACCCGGCCGGGUCCCUGGGCGGUGUCGGCCCCCGGGGCGCGGGGCUUGAUCUGACUUCUGCUCGAGGCUCUCCCUUGCAGAAGGCCGUGCCACCACUAAAGAAACUCUUCGACCCUGCUCCUUCCUCUAAAAUGAAGAGGCCGCUGCGCUCCGGUGUAGGCCUGGACUGGUAGCGAGAAUGAAAUGGAGCAAGCGAAAACGGCUGAGGCUGGGAGCAGCUCCGUGUGCCUCCUCCGGGAAGUUGUCCCGGAAGUCACCCGCAUGGCCUGCUGCCCAGCGACGGCCACAGCCUGCUCGCCCGCCUAGCUCUGCAGCCUGCUGUCACACAGGGUCCUCCUUUCUCCUGUGGCACUUUCCGUGCAACUCAUCGUUAGCAUAUCCAAAAUCUUGUCCUUUUUUUUCUUAUAAAUGGCUGUAUUUCCACGCCAUUCACUGACUGUUUUCCGAGCAUCACUAAGACAGAGCAAUGCAGUACCUUGGGAGUGUCAGAUGUGUAGGGGACCAGGGUACUUCCGAGUGCAACACGGCGACACGGAACUUCGGACCCACGGCCGCAAGGAUGCCGGCACACACGCGAAGGUGCGGCCAGUUCUGCGUGUGAAUGUGGUCAAGGAAGGUGGCCCCACAGGCUAGAAAAAGCAUGGGAGCAAUCAAUUAAAAGCUGAGGGGAAAAUGAAAGGGGCUCCUGUGCUCAGGGAACUGUGAGAAGUUUGACACCACCAGGCAGGGAAGCAGACACAACCUUAGAACCCACAGGACCCAUGCACAUCACUUCCAUGCCUCAGGAAUUCCUGCUGCGACAUGUAAAUUCACUGGACACCCCCCCCCAUUUCCCUUUGGAGCUUGGCACAAGUUGAAAUAAAGGCAUUGGUCUCACUAUGUAGCCUAGACUGGCCUUCAAUUCACACCAAUCCUCCUGCUUCAGCCUCCCAAGUGCAGAGAUCACAGAUAUGCGCCACCACACCUGCGGAAAUCAAUUCUCAUCAAUUCUCGAGUUUGAGAAAAACUGACCCAUUUAAAGACUUAUAAUCUGAAGCCUCUUAUAAUAUGGUUGAUUUCAGCAUCAUUACAAUUAUAGUUACUGACUGUACAGUUACAAUUACAGUUACUGACUCACGUAGUAACUGAAACAUCUACUUUUGUCAGUUUUCUUUCUUAAGAGGAGAUAAUGAAAAAUUCUGAAUUUUCAAAUGGUUGAAUAAAGCUACAAGACGGAAAGAACAAA
Molecule: long non-coding RNA, 1331 nt
Organism: Cavia porcellus (domestic guinea pig)
Lineage: Eukaryota; Metazoa; Chordata; Mammalia; Rodentia; Caviidae
Exons: 3
Source: RefSeq, a predicted model, not a curated record